RNAcentral lists this long non-coding RNA (686 nucleotides) under Elaeis guineensis (African oil palm). RNAcentral describes it as "long non-coding RNA (EGUI_LNC047372)". Lineage: Eukaryota; Viridiplantae; Streptophyta; Magnoliopsida; Arecales; Arecaceae. The record is from RNAcentral.
UCAAUUGCUGCUCCACUAUCCCCUCCUAUUCCAACCCCUGCAUUUGUGGCUGAUGAGCAUCAUCUAGCUUUCCCUUGCACAACUCGCAUGCCCCACAUAGUAAUUUCAGAGAGAUUUCUUGAUCAAAUUUUUGAUAGGAUAGAGAGGAUAUUUGAGGAUUUCAAGACUCAAAUCUUAUAGAGCUAAAAAGCAUCUCAGGAGCACACUCAGUCCCAGAUCUAGCAGCUCUGUAGAGAUUUGCUCAGAAUCACACUGAGGAUAGAGAGCUUGGAGUGCAUUGUGGACCACAGACCCAUUACAAACCAUCGGACUGACUCUUUAGCUCUUCAACAAUUCAUCUCACAGAGUCUUGAUGAGCAAGGACAUCUACUAAGGGAUUUUUUGAUUUAUUGAGCCAAUAGAUCAGCAAUUUGUCUCAAAGAUUGGAUAUUUUUUAGAAGAGAUAGCUUGGGACUGCUGAGCCAGUUGAUCAGUUGAAGGGAGAGGCUACUAGGAUUCUUCGACGAGCUGAGGAGAUCAUGAUUUCUCAACAGGCCUACAUAAAUAUUUUUGUCACUGCUUUUCAUCGAAUUCAGGAGCAAUUGGGUCAGAUUUGGUCUUGAAUUUUACCACCCUCCACCCAGCCCAGAUCCUCCACUAGCCAGCCCCACUCUUCCACUUCUAAACCUCCAUUCAGUGUCCCUGUC